This 263-nucleotide long non-coding RNA is filed under the name Mytilus galloprovincialis (Mediterranean mussel). Lineage: Eukaryota; Metazoa; Mollusca; Bivalvia; Mytilida; Mytilidae. The record is from RNAcentral.
GGGGGGGGGCUAUGGGUUUUUUUGGAAAAAAAGUUUGUUUCCAGUUUUUGGAGAAAAAAAUAAUUUGUUUUUGAUUCUGAGAAAAAAAAAUUGUUUGUUUCACCCUCAGCUGCCACUAUAUGUAAUGCUAAAAUUGAAAGAAAAAAAUUGUUUUCGACUUGUCGCGAAAAAAAUUGAUUGUUUUUCGCCGCAGGCGAAAAAAAAAAUUUGUCCAGAAAAAAAAACCAUAGCCCCCCCCAGAAAAUCAAAUGGUUGCUGCCUAA